GCGGCGAUAGUCUAGUGGUUUCCGCGGCAGCUUCAUGGCGUACACCGCCCCGCGGAAAUUGUAGGACCUUAGCCUUCCAAGCUAAUGACCCGGGUUCGAACAAGUGGCACGUGCGCGCGCCCCUUGAACCCCUACGACGUAGGCGUUUCAUGAAAAUCCCGGUCGCCGCACCA
This 173-nucleotide transfer RNA is filed under the name Candidatus Aenigmatarchaeota archaeon. RNAcentral's name for it is "tRNA-Gly". The record is from RNAcentral. Lineage: Archaea; Nanobdellati; Candidatus Aenigmatarchaeota.